Molecule: long non-coding RNA, 828 nt
Organism: Loxodonta africana (African savanna elephant)
Lineage: Eukaryota; Metazoa; Chordata; Mammalia; Proboscidea; Elephantidae
Exons: 2
Source: RefSeq, a predicted model, not a curated record
UCCAUUUCCCCAUAUAUCCAUUUUUAUCCACUGAUUUGCAAGAGGGCUGGGGAGUCUAAUUGAAGAGGCAAAAAAAAAAAAAAAACCUUGAAUCCUGUUUAUGUGGAGUUUAAGUAUAUACAGACUAUCAGAUAAAAGCCAAUUUUGCCAAGAGGAACUAUCGAUUCUCCAGAAAUAGAAUCAUCCAUUAGAGAAAGAAGAGUUCAAUGACUCGACAGGGUAGGGGAGCUGUGUUUCCAGAAACAAUGUGUUUGUUGAUAUUAGACCAUGUCCUGCCCCAGUCACAUGCCUAGAUGGAAAGGGAAUAUAUGUGUGAACUUAAAAGAGGUCUCUUACUAAACCCACCAACACCAUGUGGCUGAAGCCGUGGACCACUGGUUGAGGGUCACAUAUAAGUAGCUUUCUCCAUGAGGAUGGUGGUAGCAUCCAGCCUUGGACAGCUGCUGCAGUGGUUGGCAAGAAACCAUCAGCACAGAUUCUUGGAAACAGCCCUCCGAAGAUGGUGAUGUAGUGCUGAAGAUCAGUGUGCUUGAGCUAUAUCCCAUAAUAAGCGAUGCCAAGGGCUGCUGAGAGGACUCCACCUUGAAUAUCAGCAAGUUCCAUCUUGGAUUCCAGAUGUGCUAGCAAUCUAAUUAGCAUGCACUGCCAUUCUGAGAAGUACUUGCCCCUUGAAGGAAGCCCACUAAAUAUUCAUUACUCUGUUGUCUCCAUGGAACCCAUAUACGCCCUAGCCUUGCUUGCCUUUUCAAGUCAGUCUUUUGGAGAGGCGUAGUCCCCCACUGACUCGUUUGGCUUGACUCAAGCAAAAUAAAGCUUGCUGAAGAUAAA